RNAcentral lists this ribosomal RNA (251 nucleotides) under Pelobates cultripes (western spadefoot toad). Its description in RNAcentral is "SSU_rRNA_microsporidia". It matches the Rfam family "Eukaryotic small subunit ribosomal RNA", at positions 209 to 428 of the family's 1831-position model. The record is from RNAcentral. Lineage: Eukaryota; Metazoa; Chordata; Amphibia; Anura; Pelobatidae.
CAUAUAAAAAAGACAACUCUGUUCCGCAGAGUAGCUGUUGACAUUAUAGUUGCGCAGGAACUUUGUUGACUCUAGAGAAUCUCGGGCAAAUCGCACAUCCCCGUGGUGGCUACUUUGCAUGCGAAUGUCAUCCAUAUCAACUUUCGAUGCCAGUUUCUGUGUCUACCAUGGUGACCAUGGGUAACGGGGAAAUCAGGGUUCCCUUCUGUACAGGGACCUUGAGAAACGGCUACCACAUGCAAGGAAGGCAG